UGAACGCUGGCGGCGUGCCUAAUACAUGCAAGUCGAGCGAACAGACGCGGAGCUUGCUCCUCUGACGUUAGCGGCGGACGGGUGAGUAACACGUGGAUAACCUACCUAUAAGACUGGGAUAACUUCGGGAAACCGGAGCUAAUACCGGAUAAUAUAUUGAACCGCAUGGUUCAAUAGUGAAAGACGGGUUUGCUGUCACUGAUAGAUGGAUCCGCGCCGCAUUAGCUAGGUGGUAAGGUAACGGCUUACCAAGGCAACGAUGCGUAGCCGACCUGAGAGGGUGAUCGGCCACACUGGAACUGAGACACGGUCCAGACUCCUACGGGAGGCAGCAGUAGGGAAUCUUCCGCAAUGGGCGAAAGCCUGACGGAGCAACGCCGCGUGAGUGAUGAAGGUCUUCGGAUCGUAAAACUCUGUUAUUAGGGAAGAACAAAUGUGUAAGUAACUAUGCACGUCUUGACGGUACCUAAUCAGAAAGCCACGGCUAACUACGUG
RNAcentral lists this ribosomal RNA (495 nucleotides) under uncultured bacterium. Its description in RNAcentral is "partial 16S ribosomal RNA". It matches the Rfam family "Bacterial small subunit ribosomal RNA", at positions 30 to 507 of the family's 1533-position model. The record is from RNAcentral.